UAGGUAUUUUCGUGGACCGAGCGCACGAUCCGACGGCAUGGGUUCAUCAGGUUAUUGAUCCGAUGGCUGGAGGCUGUUUUAAGUUUUAAUCGAAGAGGUUACUCCGAUCUGAAUGCGGAUUUGGGCCUUUAAAAAGGCCCAUGGGCAGACAGCUUUUGUGUAAUGCGACAGAGAGUUUCUAGGAGAAAACUAAGAGAGCUUGAGACGGGUUCUUGAGUGCUUUUGUAAGGGGUGUGUGUGAGGUCUUCCAAGAGAGAAGAGAGGUGUUCACAAGAGAGAGAAGAAAGGUUUCUUCCAAGAGAGAAGAAGAGGAGGCGUGCAAGGCUAGAGGAAGGAUUUUCUUCUAGGAGGCACCACUUGCAAAGAGAGAUUUUUUUUUAUUUUUCUUCUCCUGUUUUACUCCUGUAAAUCCCUUGCUAUUAUAUAAAGAAAAAAUAUAUAUUCUAUGCAGCCGUGGACGUAGGAGCAAGAGACUCCGAACCACGUAAAAUUCCUUAUGUUUUGUUUUGUGCAUGUGUGUUUUAUUUUUUCAAUUUUUCUUUCCUUUCUCCUGCGACUACCAUAAUCCGCUGCGUAUCGCUACCUAACAUCCCCCCUCCCAUCCCAUACACAGUUAGAAAGAACACAUUGUUCUUCUUUAAAUGAUAAUAGCUGUACCUCUAAGUGUAGGAAAUUGCUAGAAUAUAAGAGGAAAAAAAAGGAUCAUGCACUCCAGAAUGGUACGAGUGCCAUCACAAUAAAAGUGCAGAUAAAAUGUUAGAUUGCCAUUCUACAGAGGUUAAACCAGUU
RNAcentral lists this long non-coding RNA (789 nucleotides) under Elaeis guineensis (African oil palm). Its description in RNAcentral is "long non-coding RNA (EGUI_LNC006384)". The record is from RNAcentral. Lineage: Eukaryota; Viridiplantae; Streptophyta; Magnoliopsida; Arecales; Arecaceae.